Molecule: non-coding RNA, 21 nt
Filed under: Caenorhabditis elegans
Lineage: Eukaryota; Metazoa; Nematoda; Chromadorea; Rhabditida; Rhabditidae
Source: RNAcentral
UCAAAAGUCGUGCCUGCAGCA